GUUAUAUGUGUCACACGGGACUGCCGGUUUUAAGCCGGAGGAAGGUGGGGAUGACGUCAAGUCAGCAUGGCCUUUAUAUCCUGGGCUACACACACGCUACAAUGGUCGGUACAAUAGGUUGCCAAGCCGCGAGGCGGAGCUAAUCCACAAAGCCGGCCUCAGUUCAGAUUGUAGGCUGCAACUCGCCUGCAUGAAGAUGGAGUUGCUAGUAACCGCAGGUCAGCAAUACUGCGGUGAAUACGUUCCCGGGUCUU
This 254-nucleotide ribosomal RNA is filed under the name uncultured Anaerolineaceae bacterium. RNAcentral's name for it is "partial 16S ribosomal RNA". It matches the Rfam family "Bacterial small subunit ribosomal RNA", at positions 1125 to 1382 of the family's 1533-position model. The record is from RNAcentral. Lineage: Bacteria; Bacillati; Chloroflexota; Anaerolineae; Anaerolineales; Anaerolineaceae.